AAUGCUGACAUGAGUAACGACAAAGAGUGUGAAAGACACUCUCGCCGAAAGUCCAAGGGUUCCUGCGUAAAGUUAAUCUGCGCAGGGUUAGCCGGCCCCUAAGGCGAGGCCGAAAGGCGUAGUCGAUGGGAACGGGGCAAAUAUUCCCCGGCCAGUGGAUGGUGACGGAUGCCGUAAAUCGUUCAGUCUUAUCGGAUUGAUUGGGCGGUGAAGGGGUUCCAGGAAAUAGCCUCCACAUCAGAUCGUACCCGAAACCGACACAGGUGGUCAGGUAGAGAAUACCAAGGCGCUUGAGAGAACUCGGGUGAAGGAACUAGGCAAAAUGGUACCGUAACUUCGGGAGAAGGUACGCCGCUGACGGUGAAGGGCUUGCCCCGUAAGCUGUUGGUGGUCGAAGUGACCAGGUGGCUGCGACUGUUUACUAAAAACAUAGCACUCUGCAAACACGUAAGUGGACGUAUAGGGUGUGACGCCUGCCCGGUGCCGGAAGG
Molecule: ribosomal RNA, 491 nt
Filed under: Synchroma pusillum
Lineage: Eukaryota; Synchromophyceae; Synchromales; Synchromaceae
Description: partial Bacterial large subunit ribosomal RNA
Rfam family: Bacterial large subunit ribosomal RNA
Source: RNAcentral